RNAcentral lists this ribosomal RNA (2691 nucleotides) under Mesotaenium caldariorum. RNAcentral's name for it is "LSU rRNA". It matches the Rfam family "Bacterial large subunit ribosomal RNA". The record is from RNAcentral. Lineage: Eukaryota; Viridiplantae; Streptophyta; Zygnematophyceae; Zygnematales; Mesotaeniaceae.
CCAGAGACGAAGAAGGGCGUAGUAAGCGACGAAACGCUUCGGUUAGCUGCGAACAAGCAUACCCGAAGAUUCCCGAAUGGGGUAACCUAUAAUACUACUGUUGAAUAUAUAGACAGAAAGAGUUAACCUGGCGAACUGAAACAUCUUAGUAGCCAGAGGAAAAGAAAGCAAAAGCGAUUUCCUUAGUAGUGGCGAGCGAAACGGAAUCAGCCUAAACCAUCUAUUUUAGGUGGGGUUGUGGGGGAGUAUCAUAAUAUACACUUGACUAGGUGAAAUAAUUGAAUGUUAUACCAUAGAUGGUAAAAGUCCAGUAACUUAAAGUUUUUUGUAUAUUUAACUCUAACCCGAGUAGCAUGAGGCACGUGAAACCUUGUGUGAAUCAGCGAGGACCACCUCGUAAGGCUAAAUACUCCUGGGUGACCGAUAGUGAAGUAGUACCGUGAGGGAAAGGUGAAAAGAACCCCCACUGGGGAGUGAAAUAGAUAAUGAAACCGUAAGCCUACAAGCAGUGGGAGGAAAAUAUAAUUUCUGACCGCGUGCCUGUUGAAGAAUGAGCCGGCGACUUAUAGGCAGUGGCCUGGUUAAGGAUUUACCGAAGCCAUAGCGAAAGCAAGUCAUACCAAGGCGAAUGUCACUGUUUAUGGACCCGAACCCGGGUGAUCUAUCCAUGGCCAGGAUGAAGUUUGGGUGAAACCAAAUGGAGGUCCGAACCGACUGGUGUUGAAAAACCAACGGAUGAGCUGUGGAUAGGGGUGAAAUGCCACUCGAACUCGGAGCUAGCUGGUUCUCCCCGAAAUGCGUUGAGGCGCAGCGGUUGACUAGACUAUUUAGGGGUAAAGCACUGUUUCGGUGCGGGCUGUGAAAACGGUACCAAAUUGAUGCAAACUCUGAAUACUAAAUAUGAACAAAUGUCAGCCAGUGAGACGGUGGGGGAUAAGCUCCAUCGUCGAAAGGGAAACAGCCCAGAUCACCAGUUAAGGCCCCUAAAUGACCGCUAAGUGAUAAAGGAUGUGAGAGUGCAAAGACAGCCAGGAGGUUUGCCUAGAAGCAGCUACCCUUGAAAGAGUGCGUAAUAGCUCACUGAUCGAGCGCUCUUGCGCCGAAGAUGAAUGGGACUAAGCGGUCUGCCGAAGCUGUGAGAUGUUUAAAUAUAACAUCGGUAGGGGAGCGUUCCGCAUUAGGUUGAAGCACUAGCGUAAGCGAAUGUGGACAAAGCGGAAGUGAGAAUGUCGGCUUGAGUAACGCAAACACUGGUGAGAAUCCAGUGCCCCGAAAACCCAAGGAUUCCUACGGAAGGUUCGUCCGCGUAGGGUGAGUCAGAACCUAAGGUAAAGCCAAACGGCGUAGUCGAUGGAUAACAGGUUAAUAUUCCUGUACUACUUAUUUUUUGCCAUAGAGGGACGAAGAAGGUAAAGGGUAACUAACAACGGUAAUUAGCUUCAAAGGUACUAAACACCUGACUAAGUAGUAUUUGUUGAUAAGACAAAUAUGAUUAUCUAUACCAUGCUUCCAAGAAAAGCUUAAUUGGCUAUAAAAAAUAAGUAUCUGUACCUAAAACCGACACAGGUGGGUAGGUUGAGAAUACCUAGGGGCGCGAGAUAACUCUCUCUAAGGAACUCGGCAAUAUAGCCCCGUAACUUCGGGAUAAGGGGUGCCUCCUUCAACAAGAGGUCGCAGUGACCAGGCCCAGGCGACUGUUUAACAAAAACACAGGUCUCCGCAAAGUCGCAAGACGACGUAUGGGGGCUGACGCCUGCCCAGUGCCGGAAGGUUAAGGAAGUUAGUGACUCGAAGUCGAGAAAGCUGGCAACCGAAGCCCCGGUGAACGGCGGCCGUAACUAUGACGGUCCUAAGGUAGCGAAAUUCCUUGUCGGGUAAGUUCCGACCCGCACGAAAGGCGUAACGAUCUGGGCACUGUCUCGGAGAGAGACUCGGUGAAAUAGACUUGUCUGUGAAGAUGCGGACUACCUGCACCUGGACAGAAAGACCCUAUGAAGCUUUACUGUUCCCUGGGAUUGGGUUUGGGCCUCUUUUGCGCAGUUUAGGUGGGAGGUUAAGACGACAUUUUUCCGGAAGUGUUCGAGCCGUCCAUGAGACACCACCCUAAAGAGGCUAAGAUUCUAACUCCUGGCCUAGAAGAAGGUUAGGGGAACAUUCUCAGGUAGACAGUUUCUAUGGGGCGUAGGCCUCCUAAAGAGUAACGGAGGCGUGCAAAGGUUCCCUCGGGCUGGACGGAAAUCAGUCUUCGAGUGCAAAGGCAGAAGGGAGCUUGACUGCAAGACUUACACGUCGAGCAGGGACGAAAGUCGGCCUUAGUGAUCCGACGGUACCGAGUGGAAGGGCCGUCGCUCAACGGAUAAAAGUUACUCUAGGGAUAACAGGCUGAUCUUCCCCAAGAGUUCACAUCGACGGGAAGGUUUGGCACCUCGAUGUCGGCUCUUCGCCACCUGGCGCGGUAGUACGUGCCAAGGGUUGGGCUGUUCGCCCAUUAAAGCGGUACGUGAGCUGGGUUCAGAACGUCGUGAGACAGUUUGGUCCAUAUCCGGUGCAGGCGUUAGAGUAUUGAAAGGUACCCUUCUUAGUACGAGAGGACCGGAAGGGACGCACCACUGGUGUACCAGUUAUUGUGCCAACGGUAUACGCUGGGUAGCCAAGCGCGGAGCGGAUAACUGCUGAAAGCAUCUAAGUAGG